This 468-nucleotide ribosomal RNA is filed under the name uncultured bacterium. Its description in RNAcentral is "partial 16S ribosomal RNA". It matches the Rfam family "Bacterial small subunit ribosomal RNA", at positions 28 to 507 of the family's 1533-position model. The record is from RNAcentral.
GACGAACGCUGGCGGCGUGCCUAACACAUGCAAGUCGAACGGAAAGGCCCUGCUCUUGCGGGGUGCUCGAGUGGCGAACGGGUGAGUAACACGUGAGUAACCCGCCCCUGACUUUGGGAUAACUUCAGGAAACUGGGGCUAAUAUCGGAUAGGAGCUCCUGCUGCACGGUGGGGGUUGGAAAGUUUCGGUGGUUAGGGAUGGACUCGCGGCUUAUCAGCUUGUUGGUGGGGUAGUGGCUUACCAAGGCUUUGACGGGUAGCCGGCCUGAGAGGGUGACCGGCCACAUUGGGACUGAGAUGCGGCCCAGACUCCUACGGGAGGGAGCAGUGGGGAAUAUUGCACAAUGGGCGGAAGCCUAGUGCAGCAACGCCGCGUGCGGGAUGACGGCCUUCGGGUUGUAGACCGCUUUCGCCUGUGACGGAGCGUGAGUGACGGUAAUGGGUAAAGAAGCACCGGCUAACUACGUG